UACGUAGGUCCCGAGCGUUGUCCGGAUUUAUUGGGCGUAAAGCGAGCGCAGGUGGUUUAUUAAGUCUGGUGUAAAAGGCAGUGGCUCAACCAUUGUAUGCAUUGGAAACUGGUAGACUUGAGUGCAGGAGAGGAGAGUGGAAUCCAUGUGUAGCGGUGAAAUGCAUAGAUAUAUGGAGGAACACCGGUGGCGAAAGCGGCUCUCUGGCCUGUAACUGACACUGAGGCUCGAAAGCGUGGGGAGCAAACAGG
RNAcentral lists this ribosomal RNA (251 nucleotides) under uncultured bacterium. RNAcentral describes it as "partial 16S ribosomal RNA". It matches the Rfam family "Bacterial small subunit ribosomal RNA", at positions 524 to 776 of the family's 1533-position model. The record is from RNAcentral.